RNAcentral lists this long non-coding RNA (238 nucleotides) under Fukomys damarensis (Damara mole-rat). RNAcentral's name for it is "lncRNA (ENSFDAG00000023138.1)". Lineage: Eukaryota; Metazoa; Chordata; Mammalia; Rodentia; Bathyergidae. The record is from RNAcentral.
GUAGUCUUUAAAACAUAAAUGGAAAGGCAAAAGAAUCACUCACUGAAAACUGCAUCAAAUGAAAGUGUCCCUGGCCUGAGCCUGUUUCCUGGCAUGUGGGGUCAUCACAGAGAGGUAGCACCAGCCAGGCCGAAUGCCAAGAGGAAAACUUUCACGCAUUUGCUGCAGCAAGAGAAAGCUGACUAGCACCCUGGCAUAUAAGGCAAUUUUCAACAUACUCUCUUCUUCAAAAAAGAUC